RNAcentral lists this ribosomal RNA (301 nucleotides) under uncultured bacterium. Its description in RNAcentral is "partial 16S ribosomal RNA". It matches the Rfam family "Bacterial small subunit ribosomal RNA", at positions 509 to 807 of the family's 1533-position model. The record is from RNAcentral.
CAGCAGCCGCGGUAAUACGAAGGGUGCAAGCGUUAAUCGGAAUUACUGGGCGUAAAGCGUGCGUAGGCGGUGAGUUAAGUCUGCUGUGAAAUCCCCGGGCUCAACCUGGGAAUGGCAGUGGAUACUGGCUAGCUAGAGUGUGUCAGAGGAUGGUGGAAUUCCCGGUGUAGCGGUGAAAUGCGUAGAGAUCGGGAGGAACAUCAGUGGCGAAGGCGGCCAUCUGGGACAACACUGACGCUGAGGCACGAAAGCGUGGGGAGCAAACAGGAUUAGAUACCCGCGUAGUCCCUGUCUCUUAUAC